CACACUUACAAGACACCCUACAAACACACUACGUAAUGACAACGUUACACUUUGGUCGUAAUUUGGUAAGUCGCAACAUUACCAACAGGUGACGUUGUGACAACAUUGCUCUAUGGUCGCAAAAUAACCAGACCUCAUGGAGACUGUUCUGCAACGUUGCAGUAACGUUAUAGAAUUACGUAAAUACGAUGUAAUUUAAUAACGUAACAAUUACGUUAUACCACAGUCCUCAUCCUUACUUAAUUUGAAACGUUACUGGUAGGUUGUCAGAACGUUUGUAAAUGACGUAUUGGUUUACAGUAAAAUAUCUAUCUGUCUAUCUGUCUGCGCGUUUACGCUUGGACCGUUAUCACGUUAUAUCCAAUGCAGGGUUUAUUAUUAUUAUUAUUAUUAUUAUUAUUAUUAUUAUUAUUAUUAAUAUUUAUUUAUUUAUUUAAAUAUAGGAUAUGAUGGAUAUGCAGGUAUAGGGUUCUAGGGUGGCUGACAUGGAUAGGGAUUUUAUAGUAGGACUGGGUGUAAAGCAUGGAGGAUAAAAAAUAGCUUAGGGUGAAGGGAUUUUUGAGUGUAAAUCUAUUGUCUGAUACACACUCCGGAGCAGAAGGUGGCGGUAAUUCACCAAUAAGCUGUUAACCACCCGCUGUAAAACAAGAAGAAGACGGUAUAUCCAAUCACAUGCGCAUGUUGCUGUGACGUGGUCUUGGAAGAAGGUCGUUGUGAUUUCAAAUUCUCCGUGGGAAAAUCUGGGUUUGACUGCGUUCAAGAGCAGAGUUCUCUACAUUCGGCCCAACAGCUCAAAUGGAAACUAGAGCACAAGAUCAGAAUGAAGCUCCCACACAUGGCCUUAUGACUGUUGCUCCAGUGAAGAACCCGAGGUCCAGCCUUCCCCACUCAAGACAUGCCUGAGACAAGAGUGACUGUAUUCCAAGAUCAUCAAAACCAAGGAGAAAAGCCAAUAUAUGCAAGGAGCCCCCACGACCGAUUCUGAGAACCCCUGGCUUAAAUGCUCUUGUCGGACUCUUAAAUGCUAAAAACAUGUUCCUUUCUAAAUGCCAGUCUUACAAUGGCGGUUAAUUUUGUUAAAUUCUGUGUGUGUGAUUUCAUUGUGUGUUGUAUGUUAUCCAGCAAAUAAACCUUAAGACUCUUAA
This is a long non-coding RNA of Anguilla rostrata (American eel), 1145 nucleotides long. RefSeq lists it as uncharacterized. Lineage: Eukaryota; Metazoa; Chordata; Actinopteri; Anguilliformes; Anguillidae. The record is from RefSeq and is a predicted model, not a curated record. The transcript is spliced from 4 exons.